Molecule: ribosomal RNA, 1838 nt
Filed under: Didymium spongiosum
Lineage: Eukaryota; Evosea; Eumycetozoa; Physariida; Didymiaceae
Description: SSU rRNA
Rfam family: Eukaryotic small subunit ribosomal RNA
Source: RNAcentral
GGAAGCAAUUCUCUCUGAAUCUGCGAACGGCUCCGCAAACCAGUUGUAAACUAUAGCAAGCAAUCCGGGGGGUCGCCGUUAAAAAGCGGCCCUCCGGUAAUAAGGAUAACCAUGGUAAUUCUGAGGCUAAUACAAGAACGUAACCCCCGGCCGACCCGCGAGGGAAAGCCGGGAGACGUACGAGUUUUACGCGAGGAGUUAUCGGGAAAGAACGUACGUCUGGACCGCGCCAAAGACGGAUGGAUCCCACCAACCCUCACGGGUCGGGGUUCGCCCGAGCGGCUCUUGCAAUGUGCUUCUGACCUAUCAACUAGAUGGCAGCGUAAGGGACAUGCUAUGGUGACAACGGGUACAGAGGAUUAGGGUUCGAUCCUGGAGAGUGGGCCUGAGAGAUUGCUCAUACUUCUAAGGAAGGCAGCAGGCGCGCAACGUUCCCCUUGGGCAAUGCUUGAGGGCGUUAGGGGACAUAUGAAUGCCUGCCUUAUAGGUGGGCAAUUCAAAUGGGUCUGUUGUAAACAGGCUCUCGAGUAACAAUUAGAGGACAAGUCUGGUGCCAGCACCCGCGGUAAUUCCAGCUCUAAUAACAUACGUUAAAGUUGUUGCGGUUAAAACGCUCGUAAUCGGCUUAAAGGUCAUCAGAUUCGGCAGGGAAGGGGCUCGGGACUUGGCUGCCUAUCGGGGCGCGCCGGGUCAAUCCCAGCGGUUGGGGUGGCCAAGUGCGUUCUCGGGUCCCUUCACUGGGUCACAGGGCUCCUCUCCCUCAUGGGGGGGGCUGUCCGGCAGGGAGUGCCACUCACCAUGACCAAACUGGGUUGAUCAAACAAGGUCGCUCGAUCUUGCACAGCACAGCAUGGCAUGAAUCUAGCCGGUUCGAUCCUCUCGCGGGGGUCGGGCUGGCAGAAGCGAUAGGGGUGUUCGAGGGUGACCGAAUUGCCGGGCGAGUGGUGAAAUACGUUGACCCUGGCAAGUCGACCAAAGGCGAAAGCAGUCAUCAAGGGCACGCCCGUUGAUCAAGAGCGAAAGUUAAGGGUUCGAAGACGAUCAGAUACCGUCGUAGUCUUAACUAUAAAUGAUACUGGCCAGGGAUUGGACACUGUCCAUCUCGACUCCUCCUGCACCUUAGAGAAAUUAGAGUCUUUGAGUUCUGGGGGGAGUAUGGUCGCAAGGCUGAAACUUAAAGGAAUUGACGGAAGGGCACACAAAGAGUGGAACCUGCGGCUUAAUUUGACUCAACACGGGAAAACUCACCAGGUCCGGAUACACGUAUGAAAGACAAGCUGAAAGACUUUUCUCAAUGAUGUAAGUGGUGGUGCAUGGUCGUUCUUAGUUCGUGGAUUGAUUUGUCUGGUCUAUUCCGAUAACGAGCGAGACCCCGACGUUCCUAAUAGGGGCGGCAGCCAGGCUCGCCCUCACGGGCUUGCUAGCAGUCGCCUUAAUUAGCUUCUUAGACGUAUCAGAGCCGAUAAGGUUCUUGAAAUGGGUUAAUAACAGGUCAGUCAUGCCCUUAGAUGUUCUGGGCCGCACGCGCGUUACAAUGGUAUACAUAGAAAGUGCCUCAAAGGGCGUCUCCGCGGCCGACAGGUCGCGGUAACCCCUAAUCUCUCCCUUGACUGGGACAGACUAUUGCAAUUAUUGGUCUCCAACGAGGAAUUUUUAGUAGUCGCAGGUCAUUAACCUGCGACGAAUGCGUCCCUGCCCUUUGUACACACCGCCCGUCGCUGCUACCGAUUGGGCUUUGCGGUUACGCGUUCGGAGACAUCGGUUCGCCGCCUUCUUCACGGGAGGCGUCAGCCGGAGUUGAAGUCCUAAGCACCGCAAAUCUGAGGAAGCAGAGCCGU